GCCUGGGUGGCUCGGUCAGUUAAGCAUCUGACUUCAGCUCAGGUCAUGAUCUCACGAUUUGGUUCGUGGGUUCAAGCCCCAUGUCAGGCU
Molecule: transfer RNA, 90 nt
Filed under: Felis catus (domestic cat)
Lineage: Eukaryota; Metazoa; Chordata; Mammalia; Carnivora; Felidae
Also listed under: 1 other name
Rfam family: tRNA
About the family: Transfer RNA (tRNA) molecules are approximately 80 nucleotides in length. Their secondary structure includes four short double-helical elements and three loops (D, anti-codon, and T loops). Further hydrogen bonds mediate the characteristic L-shaped molecular structure. tRNAs have two regions of fundamental functional importance: the anti-codon, which is responsible for specific mRNA codon recognition, and the 3' end, to which the tRNAs corresponding amino acid is attached (by aminoacyl-tRNA synthetases). tRNAs cope with the degeneracy of the genetic code in two manners: having more than one tRNA (with a specific anti-codon) for a particular amino acid; and 'wobble' base-pairing, i.e. permitting non-standard base-pairing at the 3rd anti-codon position.
Source: Rfam by way of RNAcentral